This 376-nucleotide unclassified non-coding RNA is filed under the name soil metagenome. RNAcentral describes it as "partial contains 5.8S ribosomal RNA, internal transcribed spacer 2, and large subunit ribosomal RNA". The stretch from base 1 to 120 matches the Rfam family "5.8S ribosomal RNA", at positions 35 to 154 of the family's 154-position model. The record is from RNAcentral.
GAUGAAGAACGUAGCGAAAUGCGAUAAGUAACGUGAAUUGCAGAAUUCAGUGAAUCAUCGAAUCUUUGAACGCAUCUUGCGCUCCUUGGUAUUCUGAGGAGCAUGCCUGUUUGAGUGUCAUUAAAUUCUCAACUACACUGACUUUGAAUUGGUGUGGCUUGGAUUUGGGGGGAAAAUUGUUGUGGGCUUUUUGUAUAGUCUGCUCCCCUGAAAUUGAUUAGCGGUACCUUUGUGGAACUGUCUACAGGUGUGAUAAUUAUCUACAUCUUAGACAUCUGCUGGAAUGCUGCUCUCUAAACCUUACUUGUAUUGACAAUCUUGACCUCAAAUCAGGUAGGACUACCCGCUGAACUUAAGCAUAUCAAUAAGCGGAGGA